This 58-nucleotide non-coding RNA is filed under the name Pedobacter suwonensis. The record is from RNAcentral. Lineage: Bacteria; Pseudomonadati; Bacteroidota; Sphingobacteriia; Sphingobacteriales; Sphingobacteriaceae.
AAUUAAACCUGAUCGAACGGAUGCCAUUUUUCAUGGCAGAGGUAGAGCAGGAAUAAAU